GCGGAUAUAGCUUAGCUGGUUAAAGCGCCAGAUUGUGGCUCUGGAGACCGUGGGUUCGAGUCCCACUAUUCGCCCCA
This 77-nucleotide transfer RNA is filed under the name Clostridiales bacterium. RNAcentral's name for it is "tRNA-His". It matches the Rfam family "tRNA". From Rfam's summary of the family: Transfer RNA (tRNA) molecules are approximately 80 nucleotides in length. The record is from RNAcentral. Lineage: Bacteria; Bacillati; Bacillota; Clostridia; Eubacteriales.